AGCAGGCACGCAAAUUACCCACUCCCAGCUCGGGGAGGUAGUGACGAAAAAUAACAAUACGGGACUCAUCCGAGGCCCCGUAAUUGGAAUGAGAACAAUUCAAAUCCUUUAACGAGGAUCCAUUGGAGGGUAAGCCUGGUGCCAGCAACCGCGGUAAUUCCAGCUCCAAUAGCGUAUAUUAAAGUUGCUGCAGUUAAAAAGCUCGUAGUUGGAUCUCAGUUAUGGGCAGGUGGUUCACUCUACGGUGUUACUACCUGAACCGAACCUAUUGCUGGUUCUCUUGGUUGCCCUUCACUGGGUGGCCCUUGAGACCAGAGCGUUUACUUUGAGAAAAUUAGAGUGCUCAAAGCAGGCGAAUGCCGGAAUAGUUGUGCAUGGAAUAAUGAAACAAGGCCUCGGUGCCAUUUUGUUGGUUCUCGGUGCUCGAGGUAAUGGUUGAAAGGGACAGACGGGGGCAUUAGUAUUGCGACGUUAGAGGUGAAAUUCUUAGAUCGUCGCAAGACUAACUACUGCGAAAGCAUUUGCCAAGAAUGUCUUCAUUAAUCAAGAACGAAAGUCAGAGGUUCGAAGGCGAUCAGAUACCGCCCUAGUUCUGACCUUAAACGAUGCUAACUGGCGAUCCGGUGGGGGUACUUCAAUGACCUGCCGGGCAGCUUCUGGGAAACCAAAGUUUUUGGGUUCCGGGGGAAGUAUGGUUGCAAAGCUGGAACUUAAAGGAAUUGACGGAAGGGCACCACCAGGAGUGGAGCCUGUGGCUUAAUUUGACUCAACACGGGAAACCUCACCAGGCCCAGACACUAGAAGGAUUGACAGAUUGAGAGCUCUUUCUUGAUUUGGUGGAUGGUGGUGCAUGGCCGUUCUUAGUUGGUGGAGUGAUUUGUCUGGUUAAUUCCGAUAACGAACGAGACUCUGGCCUAUUAAAUAGGCAGCGGAUAAUUGUGGUCCGCGUUGUCUUCUU
This 958-nucleotide ribosomal RNA is filed under the name Pilbaracandona eberhardi. Its description in RNAcentral is "SSU rRNA". It matches the Rfam family "Eukaryotic small subunit ribosomal RNA", at positions 427 to 1412 of the family's 1831-position model. The record is from RNAcentral. Lineage: Eukaryota; Metazoa; Arthropoda; Ostracoda; Podocopida; Candonidae.